CCUACGGUGAGCAGCAGUGAGGAAUAUUGGUCAAUGGCCGGAAGGCUGAACCAGCCAAGCCGCGUGAAGGACGAAGGUGCCAAGCAUUGUAAACUUCUUUUGUCAAGGGACAAAAUCAGGCUCGAGAGCCUGACCGAGGGUACUUGAAGAAAAAGCAUCGGCUAACUCCGUGCAAGCAGCCGCGGUAAUACGGAGAAUGCGAGCGUUAUCGGGAUUUAUUGGGUUGAAAGGGUGCAUAGGCGGGCUGUUAAGUCAGCGGGAAAAGCACGGGGCUCAACCCCGGCGAGCCGUUGAAACUGGCGGUCUUGAGAUGUCGAGAGGUAUGCGGAAUGCGCAGUGUAGCGGUGAAAUGCUUAGAUAUUGCGCAGAACUCCGAUUGCGAAGGCAGCAUACCGGCGGCGAUCUGACGCUGAGGCACGAAAGCGUGGGUAUCGAACAGGAUUAGAUACCCGAGUAGUC
This 459-nucleotide ribosomal RNA is filed under the name uncultured bacterium. RNAcentral describes it as "partial 16S ribosomal RNA". It matches the Rfam family "Bacterial small subunit ribosomal RNA", at positions 338 to 795 of the family's 1533-position model. The record is from RNAcentral.